AGUGGGCCAAAAAAUCUGUAAGGACCAAAAUGAAAAAAUUGAUAUACUUCACGAACUAAAGUGUGAAUUAAGCCUUAUAUUAAACAUCAUCUAAAUUACUUUAUUUUUUAAUUUUUAACAUUGUGUUUAAAAUGAACAUUUUUAAUUUUCUAUCGUAAAUUUUAACAAUAAUAUUAAACACUUAAAAUUAUAAAUCACAUUUUUUUUUCAAACAAAAUUUUUUAAAAUCAUUUUCAAACCAUAACAAUUAUACUAAACUAUGA
Molecule: long non-coding RNA, 263 nt
Filed under: Gossypium barbadense (sea-island cotton)
Lineage: Eukaryota; Viridiplantae; Streptophyta; Magnoliopsida; Malvales; Malvaceae
Description: long non-coding RNA (GBAR_LNC014306)
Source: RNAcentral